This 577-nucleotide ribosomal RNA is filed under the name Saccharicrinis fermentans. Its description in RNAcentral is "bacterial SSU rRNA". It matches the Rfam family "Bacterial small subunit ribosomal RNA", at positions 338 to 916 of the family's 1533-position model. The record is from RNAcentral. Lineage: Bacteria; Pseudomonadati; Bacteroidota; Bacteroidia; Marinilabiliales; Marinilabiliaceae.
CCUACGGGAGGCAGCAGUGAGGAAUAUUGGUCAAUGGCCGCAAGGCUGAACCAGCCAUGUCGCGUGCAGGAAGACGGCCCUAUGGGUUGUAAACUGCUUUUGUACGGGAAGAAACGUAUCUACGAGUAGAUAUUUGCGGUACCGUGGGAAUAAGCAUCGGCUAACUCCGUGCCAGCAGCCGCGGUAAUACGGAGGAUGCAAGCGUUAUCCGGAUUUUUAUUGGGUUUAAAGGGUGCGUAGGCGGACUAAUAAGUCAGUGGUGAAAUCUUGCGGCUCAACCGUAAAACUGCCAUUGAUACUGUUAGUCUUGAAUUUAGUUGAGGUAGGCGGAAUGUGUUGUGUAGCGGUGAAAUGCAUAGAUAUAACACAGAACACCGAUUGCGAAGGCAGCUUACUAAGCUAUAAUUGACGCUGAUACGAAAGCGUGGGGAUCAAACAGGAUUAGAUACCCUGGUAGUCCACGCUGUAAACGAUGAUCACUCGUUGUUGGCGAUAUACAGUCAGCGACUGAACGAAAGUAUUAAGUGAUCCACCUGGGGAGUACGAUCGCAAGGUUGAAACUCAAAGGAAUUGACGG